GAACUCUUCAUGAAACAGCCGGAUGAUUAUAAAAACGAUUGACAAUUGCUGUCAUUGAACGUCAAUACACAGCGCGUCAAUUGCCAUCAAUUAAAAUUUCCAUCAAUGUCCUUCAAUACCGUAGUUGCAAUUGACAAUUGCUUCAAUUCUCUUGAUAAACGAGCAUUUGGCAUUGACAAUGAGCAUCAAUCACGUAAAAAUUGACAAUCGCGAUUGAUCGUCUCGGGGGCUCUUAACGAAAAGCUAGAUGCGCCGCGCCGCUUGUGUGCCCGCACCUCGACACCCCGGCCGCCUUGACUGUGCUGCGGGCACCUGCGGGCACCGUCGCUAUCUCGUGUUAGCUUUGUCGCUGACUGUACGUCUACAAUUGCAGAGAAUACCUACUAGGUAUCUACC
Molecule: long non-coding RNA, 396 nt
Organism: Maniola jurtina (meadow brown)
Lineage: Eukaryota; Metazoa; Arthropoda; Insecta; Lepidoptera; Nymphalidae
Exons: 3
Source: RefSeq, a predicted model, not a curated record